This 90-nucleotide microRNA precursor is filed under the name Nomascus leucogenys (northern white-cheeked gibbon). RNAcentral's name for it is "miRNA (ENSNLEG00000028809.1)". Lineage: Eukaryota; Metazoa; Chordata; Mammalia; Primates; Hylobatidae. The record is from RNAcentral.
UGAGGCAGGAGAAUUGCUUGAACCCAGGAAGUGGAGGCUGCAGUGAGCUGAGAUGGCGCCACUGCACUCCAGCCUGGGUGACACAGCGAG